UGCGUAGGCGGCAUGUCAAGCCAGAGGUGAAAGGCAUUGGCUCAACCAAUGUAAGCCUUUGGAACUGACGCGCUUGAGUACAGGAGAGGUAAGUGGAAUUCCUAGUGUAGAGGUGAAAUUCGUAGAUAUUAGGAGGAACACCAGUGGCGAAGGCGACUUACUGGACUGUAACUGACGCUGAGGCACGAAAGCGUGGGAGCAAACA
RNAcentral lists this ribosomal RNA (205 nucleotides) under uncultured bacterium. RNAcentral describes it as "partial 16S ribosomal RNA". It matches the Rfam family "Bacterial small subunit ribosomal RNA", at positions 568 to 774 of the family's 1533-position model. The record is from RNAcentral.